AUUUGAAAGCUGCCCUCCUCUGUCCUGGAGUGCUUAAAGGAAUGGCUUUGGACAUGUUUUGCAAAUCCAGAGGAAUCACAAUGCCAGCUGUAUUAGCAGGGGAGAACCCAGAGUAUGGAAAAAGAUGCCUGCUCUUCUCAAACAUCCUCCCAAUUUGCAGGCUAUAGGAAGAGAGACCUCUCAGCUAAACAACCAUCAUGACAAGAGGACAGCCAAGAAACUACACACAGGUAAAGUAAGGAGAAAUAUGGAAGAACCUGCAAUAAAGUGGUCAUCAGACUGGCCCUGAAGACAAGAAAUAUGAGGUCCUCCGUGGCUUUUCACCUCAGCGUUGGUUUGUUUGAUAUUGCUGUCUCCAGCUUUUAGGCUAUAUCCAAAAAAAGAAAAGAAAAGAAAAAUGAUACCUUAUUAUAGCCCAGGAGAACAAUGCUGCGAAAUUGAGCUGCUGCCAAA
This 453-nucleotide long non-coding RNA is filed under the name Vombatus ursinus (common wombat). Its description in RNAcentral is "lncRNA (ENSVURG00010013018.1)". The record is from RNAcentral. Lineage: Eukaryota; Metazoa; Chordata; Mammalia; Diprotodontia; Vombatidae.